Molecule: ribosomal RNA, 451 nt
Filed under: uncultured Fibrobacter sp.
Lineage: Bacteria; Pseudomonadati; Fibrobacterota; Fibrobacteria; Fibrobacterales; Fibrobacteraceae
Description: partial 16S ribosomal RNA
Rfam family: Bacterial small subunit ribosomal RNA
Source: RNAcentral
ACGGAAGGCAGCAGUGGGGGAUAUUGCACAAUGGGGGAAACCCUGAUGCAGCAACGCCACGUGUGGGAAGACGCAUUUCGGUGUGUAAACCACUGUCGUGAGGGAAUAAGGCUGAGUUUCGGCUCAGUUGAAUGUACCUCGAAAGGAAGCACCGGCAAACUUCGUGCCAGCAGCCGCGGUAAUACGAGGGGUGCAAGCGUUGUUCGGAAUCACUGGGCGUAAAGGGAGCGCAGGCGGAAGUGCAAGCGGUCUGUACAAUACCGGGGCCCAACCCCGGACCUGCAGACCGGACUGCAUUUCUCGGAUAGUUCAGGGGCAAGCGGAAUUCCUGGUGUAGCGGUGGAAUGCGUAGAGAUCAGGAAGAACACCGAUGGCGAAGGCAGCUUGCUGGGGACUUAUCGACGCUCAUGCUCGAAAGUGCGGGUAGCAAACAGGAUUAGAUACCCUGGUA